RNAcentral lists this ribosomal RNA (264 nucleotides) under uncultured bacterium. RNAcentral describes it as "partial 16S ribosomal RNA". It matches the Rfam family "Bacterial small subunit ribosomal RNA", at positions 88 to 353 of the family's 1533-position model. The record is from RNAcentral.
CUGACGAGUGGCGGACGGGUGAGUAAUGUCUGGGAAACUGCCUGAUGGAGGGGGAUAACUACUGGAAACGGUAGCUAAUACCGCAUAACGUCGCAAGACCAAAGAGGGGGACCUUCGGGCCUCUUGCCAUCGGAUGUGCCCAGAUGGGAUUAGCUUGUUGGUGGGGCAACGGCCCACCAAGGCGACGAUCAGUAGCCGGACUGAGAGGUUGACCGGCCACAUUGGGACUGAGACACGGCCCAGACUCCUACGGGAGGCAGCAUG